This 440-nucleotide ribosomal RNA is filed under the name uncultured bacterium. RNAcentral describes it as "bacterial SSU rRNA". It matches the Rfam family "Bacterial small subunit ribosomal RNA", at positions 358 to 797 of the family's 1533-position model. The record is from RNAcentral.
GGAAUUUUGGACAAUGGGGGAAACCCUGAUCCAGCGACGCCGCGUGUGGGAUGAAUGGGCUCUGCCCUGUAAACCACUGUCAGUAGGGAAGAAAAGGUCCUUUUAGGGCCUGGGACUGUACCUGCAGAGGAAGGACCGGCUAACUACGUGCCAGCAGCCGCGGUAAUACGUAGGGUCCAAGCGUUGUCCGGAAUUACUGGGUGUAAAGGGUGCGUAGGCGGAUUUGUGCGUCUUGGGUUAAAGACCCCGGCUCAACCGGGGAAAAGCCUAAGAAACGGCAAAUCUUGAGUGUGAGAGAGGAAGGUAGAAUUCCUGGUGUAGCAGUGAAAUGCGUAGAUAUCAGGAGGAAUACCAGUUGCGAAGGCGGCCUUCUGGCUCAUCACUGACGCUGAGGCACGAAAGCGUGGGGAGCAAACAGGAUUAGAUACCCCAGUAGUCCC